This 530-nucleotide ribosomal RNA is filed under the name uncultured bacterium. RNAcentral's name for it is "partial 16S ribosomal RNA". It matches the Rfam family "Bacterial small subunit ribosomal RNA", at positions 355 to 895 of the family's 1533-position model. The record is from RNAcentral.
UGGGGAAUAUUGCACAAUGGGCGCAAGCCUGAUGCAGCAACGCCGCGUGAGGGACGACGGCCUUCGGGUUGUAAACCUCUUUUAGUAGGGAAGAAGCGAAAGUGACGGUACCUGCAGAAAAAGCACCGGCUAACUACGUGCCAGCAGCCGCGGUAAUACGUAGGGUGCGAGCGUUGUCCGGAAUUAUUGGGCGUAAAGAGCUCGUAGGCGGUCUGUCGCGUCUGCUGUGAAAACCCGAGGCUCAACCUCGGGCCUGCAGUGGGUACGGGCAGACUAGAGUGCGGUAGGGGAGAAUGGAAUUCCUGGUGUAGCGGUGGAAUGCGCAGAUAUCAGGAGGAACACCGAUGGCGAAGGCAGUUCUCUGGGCCGUAACUGACGCUGAGGAGCGAAAGCGUGGGGAGCGAACAGGAUUAGAUACCCUGGUAGUCCACGCCGUAAACGUUGGGCGCUAGAUGUGGGGACCAUUCCACGGUUUCCGUGUCGCAGCUAUCGCAUUAAGCGCCCCGCCUGGGGAGUACGGCCGCAAGGCU